GACGAACGCUGGCGGCGUGCUUAACACAUGCAAGUCGAACGGAAAGGCCCUGCUUUUGUGGGGUGCUCGAGUGGCGAACGGGUGAGUAACACGUGAGUAACCUGCCCUUGACUUUGGGAUAACUUCAGGAAACUGGGGCUAAUACCGGAUAGGAGCUCCUGCUGCAUGGUGGGGGUUGGAAAGUUUCGGCGGUUGGGGAUGGACUCGCGGCUUAUCAGCUUGUUGGUGGGGUAGUGGCUUACCAAGGCUUUGACGGGUAGCCGGCCUGAGAGGAUGACCGGCCACAUUGGGACUGAGAUACGGCCCAGACUCCUACGGGAGGCAGCAGUGGGGAAUAUUGCACAAUGGGCGGAAGCCUGAUGCAGCAACGCCACGUGCGGGAUGACGGCCUUCGGGUUGUAAACCGCUUUCGCCUGUGACGAAGCGUGAGUGACGGUAAUGGGUAAAGAAGCACCGGCUAACUACGUG
RNAcentral lists this ribosomal RNA (468 nucleotides) under uncultured bacterium. Its description in RNAcentral is "partial 16S ribosomal RNA". It matches the Rfam family "Bacterial small subunit ribosomal RNA", at positions 28 to 507 of the family's 1533-position model. The record is from RNAcentral.